RNAcentral lists this ribosomal RNA (1003 nucleotides) under Westiellopsis prolifica CR_L32. RNAcentral's name for it is "bacterial SSU rRNA". It matches the Rfam family "Bacterial small subunit ribosomal RNA", at positions 414 to 1432 of the family's 1533-position model. Lineage: Bacteria; Bacillati; Cyanobacteriota; Cyanophyceae; Nostocales; Hapalosiphonaceae. The record is from RNAcentral.
GCUCUUGGGUUGUAAACCUCUUUUCUCAAGGAAAGAAAGAUGACGGUACUUGAGGAAUCAGCAUCGGCUAACUCCGUGCCAGCAGCCGCGGUAAUACGGAGGAUGCAAGCGUUAUCCGGAAUGAUUGGGCGUAAAGCGUCCGUAGGUGGCUGUGUGUGUCUAUUGUUAAAGAGUUUGGCUCAACCAAAUAAGGGCGGUAGAAACUACACAGCUAGAGUGCGUUCGGGGCAGAGGGAAUUCCUGGUGUAGCGGUGAAAUGCGUACAGAUCAGGAAGAACACCGGUGGCGAAAGCGCUCUGCUAGGCCGCAACUGACACUGAGGGACGAAAGCUAGGGGAGCGAAUGGGAUUAGAUACCCCAGUAGUCCUAGCCGUAAACGAUGGAUACUAGGCGUUGAGAGUAUCGACCCUCUCAGUGCCGUAGCUAACGCGUUAAGUAUCCCGCCUGGGGAGUACGCACGCAAGUGUGAAACUCAAAGGAAUUGACGGGGGCCCGCACAAGCGGUGGAGUAUGUGGUUUAAUUCGAUGCAACGCGAAGAACCUUACCAGGGCUUGACAUGUCUGGAAUCUUGGGGAAACUCAAGAGUGCCUUCGGGAGCCAGAACACAGGUGGUGCAUGGCUGUCGUCCGCUCGUGUCGUGAGAUGUUGGGUUAAGUCCCGCAACGAGCGCAACCCUUGUACUUAGUUGCCAGCAUUUAGGAUGGGCACUCUAAGGAGACUGCCGGUGACAAACCGGAGGAAGGUGGGGAUGACGUCAAGUCAGCAUGCCCCUUACGUCCUGGGCUACACACGUACUACAAUGCUACGGACAAAGGGCAGCGAGACUGCGAAGUUAAGCAAAUCUCAGAAACCGUAGCUCAGUUCAGAUCGCAGGCUGCAACUGGCCUGCGUGAAGGAGGAAUCGCUAGUAAUUGCAGGUCAGCAUANUGCAGUGAAUUCGUUCCCGGGCCUUGUACACACCGCCCGUCACACCAUGGAAGCUGGUCACGCCCGAAGGGGUUA